This 161-nucleotide ribosomal RNA is filed under the name uncultured bacterium. RNAcentral's name for it is "partial 16S ribosomal RNA". It matches the Rfam family "Bacterial small subunit ribosomal RNA", at positions 355 to 507 of the family's 1533-position model. The record is from RNAcentral.
UGAGGAAUAUUGCGCAAUGGGCGAAAGCCUGACGCAGCGACGCCGCGUGGAGGAUGAAGGUCUUCGGAUUGUAAACUCCUGUUAAGCGUGAAGAAAGGUUCUAUCUCUAACAUAGGUAGGACGUGACGGUAACGCUAGAGAAAGCACUGGCUAACCUCGUG